RNAcentral lists this ribosomal RNA (253 nucleotides) under uncultured bacterium. RNAcentral's name for it is "partial 16S ribosomal RNA". It matches the Rfam family "Bacterial small subunit ribosomal RNA", at positions 524 to 776 of the family's 1533-position model. The record is from RNAcentral.
UACAGAGGGUGCGAGCGUUGUCCGGAAUCACUGGGCGUAAAGGGCGCGUAGGCGGCCUUCUAAGUCGAACGUGAAAUCCCUGGGCUCAACCCAGGAACUGCGUCCGAUACUGGAAGGCUUGAAUCCGGGAGAGGGAUGCGGAAUUCCAGGUGUAGCGGUGAAAUGCGUAGAUAUCAGGAAGAACACCAAUGGCGAAGGCAGCUCUCUGGGACGGUACUGACGCUGAGACGCGAAAGCGUGGGGAGCGAACAGG